This is a non-coding RNA of Peromyscus maniculatus bairdii (prairie deer mouse), 1348 nucleotides long. The record is from RefSeq and is a predicted model, not a curated record. Lineage: Eukaryota; Metazoa; Chordata; Mammalia; Rodentia; Cricetidae.
GUAUGGUUCUAUGGAUGAAACAGAAAAUUUUCAUGUACAUUUACUACCUUCUAGGCUGAUGAAUACAAUUCUCUUUUAAACUCUAUAUCAUCUUCCCUGUUACAUAGACCAGGAUGUUGUGUGACCCCAUCUGGAGCAGACUUUGAUGUGGCUGACUCAGUCUGAUGGGGAGACUCUCAUAUGCAAUGCAAAAGAUCCAAGAGUACAGUCUCAAUAUUGUCCUUCAAAGUUAUAUAAUGUGUUUCCUUGUGUAUCUGACAAUAACUCACAUCAUGCUCAACGUCCCUGGAUGAAACUGUUAUUGGCAAAAUGUAACAGUGUCAAUCUAAGUCCUGGACUGACUGCCAAACAGGACACUCUGACAAGUAAACAAGCUUUCAAAAUGAACCACACUUUAUAUUGCAUUUAACCCACAAAGGGAAACAGAUGGAAAAUGUUUUAGUUGAUAUCCUCUGUAACAACUGAAAUACGGAUCAUUUCCCAAGAAGCUGGAAACCGAAACAUAGAAAAAUGAAGAUUCUUCUGUUAACGGCUGUUAUCGGCUUUGCUUACACAGAAGAGCUUUUAGAAAACUAUCGAACUCUCUACUUAGCAGCCGAUGAUUUAAAACUAAUAGAGGAAAAUGGGCCACUAAGAAUUCACGUACGUCAUAUUCUACAAUACAAUAAUUAUGCUGAAGUUGGCAUCACAUUUUAUGUCAGGCAAAAGGAAGGAUGCCAGCUUUACACACUUCUGCUUCGUAAAUUUAUUACUUUCAUCGUAAGACCACCAUAUAAGUCAAGAUCAUUGCAGAACCAAAGACUGGGUGGAGAUGCUUAUGUGACAGGAUUCUGGAUGUUCACCAAUACAUUCUCUACUCUCCCAGAAAGUUGGCUUCAGAAAGAAAAAAAUGGAACCAGAGUCUCAGGUGUCAUGUUAUUUGAAUUAUUUCCUGUUUCAAAUACCACAGUCAUCGUGCACAUCAACUUUGUUGAAAAGAAUGGUAAAAAUGGAAAUUUGUGUGCAGCAUUCUCAACGGAAACCAGUCUCAGUAAAGAAUUAUGGGACUUCUAUGUGGCAGUGAAUGAAAUAUAUGGAAUCCCAAUAGAAAAUAUACUAGACAUCAUCAAAAAUGACACCUGUCCUCAAUGAAGAUCCUGAUUUUGCAAAAGGAUGGAUGCUAGCUCUACACACUUCUGCUUCAUAAACUUGAUACUGCCAUCAUAAGAUCAUUAUAUACGUCGAGAUCAUUGCAGGACCAGAGACAGGGUGGAGAUGCUUCUAUGAGCGGAUUCUUAAUGUUCCCUGAUAAAUUUUCUUCUCUCCCAGGAAACUGGGUUCAGAGUGAAAACCAUAAGUGUAUAAACAU